Dioscorea cayenensis subsp. rotundata (Guinea yam) is the source of this 129-nucleotide small nucleolar RNA. NCBI's taxonomy places the organism in Eukaryota, Viridiplantae, Streptophyta, Magnoliopsida, Dioscoreales, Dioscoreaceae. The record is from RefSeq and is a predicted model, not a curated record.
AUCCCAGAUGAACUUGUAUUCAUGGUGUUCUUCUGAUUCAUAGGGGGCCUAGAACAAAGAUGGGAGUUUCGCUGAUAACGCCUUCUCUUUCUCAUUGUAGGCGUUUCAUUAGUAGCUCGCCAUACACUU